Small nucleolar RNA from Ochotona curzoniae (black-lipped pika), 84 nucleotides. RefSeq annotates it as small nucleolar RNA SNORD105. The transcript has a single exon. NCBI's taxonomy places the organism in Eukaryota, Metazoa, Chordata, Mammalia, Lagomorpha, Ochotonidae. The record is from RefSeq and is a predicted model, not a curated record.
CGUCUGUCUCUCAUGAUGACCCCCUUCGCCCUGAACUGCUGUGAUCUGGCUUCAAAGUAAACGCUCUGAAGAGAGGACGGGGAC